RNAcentral lists this ribosomal RNA (445 nucleotides) under uncultured bacterium. RNAcentral's name for it is "partial 16S ribosomal RNA". It matches the Rfam family "Bacterial small subunit ribosomal RNA", at positions 354 to 796 of the family's 1533-position model. The record is from RNAcentral.
GUGAGGAAUAUUGGUCAAUGGGCGAGAGCCUGAACCAGCCAAGUCGCGUGAAGGAUGAAGGUUUUAUGAAUUGUAAACUUCUUUUGCAGGGGAAUAAAGUACGGUACGUGUACCGUUUUGUAUGUACUCUGCGAAUAAGGAUCGGCUAACUCCGUGCCAGCAGCCGCGGUAAUACGGAGGAUCCAAGCGUUAUCCGGAUUUAUUGGGUUUAAAGGGUGCGCAGGCGGGUUGAUAAGUCAGCGGUGAAAGUUUGCAGCUUAACUGUAAAAUUGCCGUUGAAACUGUCGAUCUUGAGUGCAAAUGAGGUAAGCGGAAUGUGUUGUGUAGCGGUGAAAUGCUUAGAUAUAACACAGAACACCGAUUGCGAAGGCAGCUUACUGGGAUGCAACUGACGCUCAUGCACGAAAGCGUGGGGAUCAAACAGGAUUAGAUACCCCGGUAGUCC